UACGUAGAUCCCGAGCGUUGUCCGGAUUUAUUGGGCGUAAAGCGAGCGCAGGUGGUUUAUUAAGUCUGGUGUAAAAGGCAGUGGCUCAACCAUUGUAUGCAUUGGAAACUGGUAGACUUGAGUGCAGGAGAGGAGAGUGGAAUUCCAUGUGUAGCGGUGAAAUGCGUAGAUAUAUGGAGGAACACCGGUGGCGAAAGCGGCUCUCUGGCCUAUAACUGACACUGAGGCUCGAAAGCGUGGGGAGCAAACAGG
This 252-nucleotide ribosomal RNA is filed under the name uncultured bacterium. RNAcentral's name for it is "partial 16S ribosomal RNA". It matches the Rfam family "Bacterial small subunit ribosomal RNA", at positions 524 to 776 of the family's 1533-position model. The record is from RNAcentral.